This is a long non-coding RNA of Gasterosteus aculeatus aculeatus (three-spined stickleback), 319 nucleotides long. The record is from Ensembl. NCBI's taxonomy places the organism in Eukaryota, Metazoa, Chordata, Actinopteri, Perciformes, Gasterosteidae.
AGGCACAUCACCAGCGACCAGGAGGCGCAGAGUGAGUGCAGAGAAGUUUUCCUCCUCUCCGCCCCGAGUGUGCGAUGCCAUCCGAGACUCACCUGUCAUCAGUCUAUUGACGGGCUGCGGCGGACAGCAGCACCGGGGAUGUACGACAGGGCUGCUCAGACGCUCAGGCAUUCAGACUGAGACCAUAUUCUAGCACGUAGGUUUUGCUGAGCUGGUUUCUGCCGCUGCACCCAGCAUCUGCCCAGUGAUCAACUUCCCCUACAGCAGUGAUGAACUGGCAUCACCCGUCCUCUAGUGAAAAAACGUAGCUUGCUCAGAG